RNAcentral lists this unclassified non-coding RNA (2176 nucleotides) under Hevea brasiliensis (rubber tree). The record is from RNAcentral. Lineage: Eukaryota; Viridiplantae; Streptophyta; Magnoliopsida; Malpighiales; Euphorbiaceae.
AGAAAAAUGAAAUUCACACAAUACUUUAUCUUCUUCUUCUUCAUUUUGAGCUUUGUUUCAUCCCAUGAUACCAGCAUAAUAUUCACCACCUUAGGAAGAUCAAGUUAUGCCUUCGACAUCUUCGCUCUUCCAACAACACACCCACAAACCGAAUUCCAGUUGACCGAUGGCAAUUCCGUUAACUUUAACGGUCAUUUCCCUGCCACCCUACCACCUUCCCUGCUCUCCCGCCUACCCGAUGAUGAUUCUGUCAACUCUGGGUUUCAUCUUAUCUAUGUAACUGAAAGGAACGGCACCCACCAUGUAUUCUAUGACGCUGUAUUUCAUGACAUACUUGAGUUUCCAUCUCAAACUCGACUUCAGGUUCCUUUGGUAGGUUUUGAGCAAUCAGUUUCUAUGAAAGAUAAGCCUAGUUUAUCUGGGGAAUUUUUGAUAUACGUAUCGACUCAUGAGGAUUCCGGUGUGCCUAGGACUAGCUGGGCUGCGGUAUAUUCCACUCAUUUGGUUUCCGGGUUCACCCAGAGGUUGACACCUAAAGGGGUUGCUGAUUUCAGCCCCGCAGUGUCUCCUUCCGGCGUUUGGACGGCGGUGGCAUCGUAUGGGGGGGAGAAGGGUUGGAGUGGGGAGGUUGAGGAACUCGAUACGGAUAUCUAUAUUUUCAUGACUCGUGAUGGGUCGGGUCGGGUUAAGGUGGUGGAGCACGGUGGGUGGCCAUCUUGGGCUGAUGAGUAUACUCUGUAUUUCCACCGGAGAUGCGAUGAUGGGUGGUGGAGUGUGUUCAAAGUUCUACUUCCGAAAUCAGGUGUCGACUUCUUAGUCUCUGUCUCUACCCCGCAGCGAGUCACCCCAUCGGGUUUGCACGUUUUCACACCAGCAUCUUCUCCGGUGAACAAGAACCUCAUCGCCGUCGCUACCAGAAGAGCAGGUUCAGAGUAUCGGCACAUCGAGCUAUUUGACGUCGUUUCUAAGAAGUUCACAGAGAUAACCCGAUCCUUUUCAUCUUAUGCUCAUCAUCUGAACCCCUUCUUUUCGCCGGAUUCUUCCUGGGUUGGAUACCAUAAAUGUCGAGGCACAGGCGAUAUACUGUUACUGGAAAAUCUUCUAAACCCGAUACCCGGAAUCUCUCUAUUCCGGAUUGACGGGUCGUUUCCAUCAUUUUCACCAAAUGGUGAUCGGAUAGCUUAUGUUAGGUUACCUGGAUUAUAUGUGGUGAACUAUGACGGAUCAGGUCUGCGUCAAAUUUCAUCUAGAACCGCCUUUUCCACGGCUUGGGACCCGAAAAGAAAGGGGGUAAUUUACACUAGCUUUGGCCCAACAUUUGCUAGUGAAAGCACACAAGUGGAUAUCAUUUCCAUCAAUGUAGAUGAUGAAGACUUGAGCUAUAAGCAAUUGACAAUAGGAGGGAAGAAUAACGCAUUUCCGUCCCCUUCACCUGAUGGGAAAUGGAUCGUCUUCCGAUCGGGGAGAUCAGGUCACAAGAACUUGUACAUAAUGGAUGCUUUGGAAGGAGAGGUGGGUGGUCUACGUCCAUUGACAGAGGGGCCAUGGACGGAUACCAUGUGUAAUUGGUCACCGGAUGAUGAAUGGAUUGCAUUUGCAUCCGAUCGAGAAAACCCUGGGUCAGGUAGUUUCGAGAUGUAUAUGAUUCACCCUAAUGGAACAGGACUCAAGAAGGUGAUCCAGAGUGGUAUAGGUGGGAGGACUAACCAUCCUUAUUUCAGCCCGGAUGGCAAGUAUAUAGUGUUCACUUCAGAUUACGCCGCCGUAUCAGCUGAGCCCAUCUCGAAUCCUCAUCAUUAUCAGCCAUAUGGUGAUAUAUAUGUGAUCAAAUCAGACGGCUCAGACAUACGAAGAUUAACACACAAUUCAUACGAGGAUGGUACGCCCGCUUGGGGCCCUACUUUCAUAGAACCUAUGGAUGUAGAAUGGCCUAACGGUGGUCAGCCCUGUUCUUUUGAAGAUUGUCACUGGCUGAAUGUUAGGACUAAUGCAUCCUUCGGCUUAGAUUCUGCCAAGAUUCAGUGUGCUCAAUGAACUUCUCUUAUAGGGCUAGAGUGUCUGUGCUAUAUGUAAAUUAUAGAAUAAUUAUGUAUCUGUUGUCUAUUGUGACUCUGUAAAAUAUUUUUGCCAAUGUAUACGGUUGAAUCCUUGAUCAAUAUAAAUUAUGAGCGAAUUA